AACCCAUGGUGAGGGCACAUUCUCAGUAAGUCCUUGAAUCUCUCUCAUGCAUCGUAAAGUGUUUCUAAAUCCAUCUACACAAAAGAAGAGAUAUCAUUAAGCAAUUU
Molecule: small nucleolar RNA, 107 nt
Filed under: Gossypium arboreum
Lineage: Eukaryota; Viridiplantae; Streptophyta; Magnoliopsida; Malvales; Malvaceae
Description: Plant small nucleolar RNA R71
Rfam family: Plant small nucleolar RNA R71
About the family: R71 is a member of the C/D box family of snoRNAs containing the C (UGAUGA) and D (CUGA) box motifs.
Source: Rfam by way of RNAcentral